This 517-nucleotide ribosomal RNA is filed under the name Pseudoeurycea sp. 2 GPO-2001. RNAcentral describes it as "partial 16S ribosomal RNA". It matches the Rfam family "Bacterial large subunit ribosomal RNA", at positions 1817 to 2597 of the family's 2925-position model. The record is from RNAcentral. Lineage: Eukaryota; Metazoa; Chordata; Amphibia; Caudata; Plethodontidae.
CGCCUUUUGAAUUAUUAACAUAAAAGGUCCUGCCUGCCCAGUGACACUUGUUUCAACGGCCGCGGUAUCAUGACCGUGCAAAGGUAGCGUAAUCACUUGUCUUUUAAAUAAAGACCGGUAUGAAUGGCAAGACGAAACCUAACUGUCUCCUUAAGCUAAUCAAUGAAAUUGAUCUUCCCGUGCAGAAGCGGGAAUAAUAAUAUAAGACGAGAAGACCCUGUGGAGCUUCAAAAUUAAGCUAACAGAUUAUAAUGCCUUAGCAUACAGUUUUGGGUUGGGGCGACCAUGAGGUAAAACACAACCCUCAAGACGAAAACUAAGAAGGACACUUCAAAUAAAUAAUAAUAUAGUAAUUGACCCAAUAAUUGAUCAACGAACCAAGUUACCCCAGGGAUAACAGCGCAAUCUACUCAAAGAGCCCUUAUCGACGAGCAGGUUUACGACCUCGAUGUUGGAUCAGGACUUCCAAAUAAUGUAACAAUUAUUAAAGGUUCGUUUGUUCAACGAUUAAAGUCCU